UACGAAGGGGGCUAGCGUUGCUCGGAAUUACUGGGCGUAAAGGGCGCGUAGGCGGUGUGUCAAGUCAGGCGUGAAAGCCCCGGGCUCAACCUGGGAACAGCGCUUGAGACUGGCACGCUCGAGUUCGGGAGAGGAUGGUGGAAUUCCCAGUGUAGAGGUGAAAUUCGUAGAUAUUGGGAAGAACACCGAUGGCGAAGGCAGCCAUCUGGACCGACACUGACGCUGAGGCGCGAAAGCGUGGGGAGCAAACAGG
This 253-nucleotide ribosomal RNA is filed under the name uncultured bacterium. RNAcentral describes it as "partial 16S ribosomal RNA". It matches the Rfam family "Bacterial small subunit ribosomal RNA", at positions 524 to 776 of the family's 1533-position model. The record is from RNAcentral.